Alosa sapidissima (American shad) is the source of this 129-nucleotide long non-coding RNA. RefSeq lists it as uncharacterized. The transcript has 2 exons. NCBI's taxonomy places the organism in Eukaryota, Metazoa, Chordata, Actinopteri, Clupeiformes, Clupeidae. The record is from RefSeq and is a predicted model, not a curated record.
UAGUGGGUUUGAUCCAGCAAGACCACUAUUGUUCUUCUUAAGUUUACUUUAUUAUUAUUCCUAUUCACCCACUUUUUGGACGAACUACUGCUCCUAGACCGUUUGAGCUAUCGACGCAGUUCGAACUCC